CCUACGGGAGGCAGCAGUGAGGAAUAUUGGUCAAUGGGCUUACGCCUGAACCAGCCAAGUCGCGUGAGGGAAGACUGCCCUAUGGGUUGUAAACUUCUUUUAUUCGGGACGAAACAAAUGACGGUACCGAAUGAAUAAGCCACGGCUAACUACGUGCCAGCAGCCGCGGUAAUACGUAGGUGGCAAGCGUUAUCCGGAUUUACUGGGUGUAAAGGGCGUGUAGGCGGGAGAGCAAGUCAGACGUGAAAUUCCAGGGCUCAACCCUGGAACUGCGUUUGAAACUGUUCUUCUUGAGUACAGUUGAGGUAGGCGGAAUUCGUGGUGUAGCGGUGAAAUGCUUAGAUAUCAGGAGGAACACCGGUGGCGAAGGCGGCCUGCUGGACUGCAACUGACGUUGAGGCCCGAAAGCGUGGGGAGCAAACAGGAUUAGAUACCCUAGUAGUC
This 444-nucleotide ribosomal RNA is filed under the name uncultured bacterium. RNAcentral describes it as "partial 16S ribosomal RNA". It matches the Rfam family "Bacterial small subunit ribosomal RNA", at positions 338 to 795 of the family's 1533-position model. The record is from RNAcentral.